RNAcentral lists this ribosomal RNA (617 nucleotides) under uncultured bacterium. RNAcentral's name for it is "bacterial SSU rRNA". The stretch from base 1 to 521 matches the Rfam family "Bacterial small subunit ribosomal RNA", at positions 338 to 873 of the family's 1533-position model. The record is from RNAcentral.
CCUACGGGAGGCAGCAGUGGGGAAUAUUGGGCAAUGGAGGAAACUCUGACCCAGCGACGCCGCGUGCGGGAUGAAGGCCUUCGGGUUGUAAACCGCUUUCAGUAGGGAAGAAGCGAAAGUGACGGUACCUACAGAAGAAGCACCGGCUAACUAUGUGCCAGCAGCCGCGGUAAUACAUAGGGUGCAAGCGUUGUCCGGAAUUAUUGGGCGUAAAGAGCUCGUAGGUGGUUCGUCACGUCGGAUGUGAAAAUCUGGGGCUCAACCCCAGACCUGCAUUCGAUACGGGCGAUCUAGAGUGUGGUAGGGGAGACUGGAAUUCCUGGUGUAGCGGUGGAAUGCGCAGAUAUCAGGAGGAACACCAAUGGCGAAGGCAGGUCUCUGGGCCAUUACUGACACUGAGGAGCGAAAGCGUGGGGAGCGAACAGGAUUAGAUACCCUGGUAGUCCACGCCGUAAACGGUGGGCACUAGUUGUGGGAACCUUCCACGGUUUCUGCGACGCNGCUACGCAUAGUAGCCCGCCGUCGGGAGGUACGAGUCGCGAAGAAGUUAAAACGUUAAAACGGUAAAGUUAGUACGGCGUUGUAGACGUUGCCGACGGCGACGACGAGGGAGGAGG